AACCAGUACCGUGAGGGAAAGGCGAAAAGAACCCCGGCGAGGGGAGUGAAAAAGAACCUGAAACCGUGUACGUACAAGCAGUGGGAGCACAGAGCAAUCUGUGUGACUGCGUACCUUUUGUAUAAUGGGUCAGCGACUUAUAUUCUGUAGCAAGGUUAACCGAAUAGGGGAGCCGAAGGGAAACCGAGUCUUAACUGGGCGUUAAGUUGCAGGGUAUAGACCCGAAACCCGGUGAUCUAGCCAUGGGCAGGUUGAAGGUUGGGUAACACUAACUGGAGGACCGAACCGACUAAUGUUGAAAAAUUAGCGGAUGACUUGUGGCUGGGGGUGAAAGGCCAAUCAAACCGGGAGAUAGCUGGUUCUCCCCGAAAGCUAUUUAGGUAGCGCCUCGUGAAUUCAUCUCCGGGGGUAGAGCACUGUUUCGGCAAGGGGGUCAUCCCGACUUACCAACCCGAUGCAAACUGCGAAUACCGGAGAAUGUUAUCACGGGAGACACACGGCGGGUGCUAACGUCCGUCGUGAAGAGGGAAACAACCCAGACCGCCAGCUAAGGUCCCAAAGUCAUGGUUAAGUGGGAAACGAUGUGGGAAGGCCCAGACAGCCAGGAUGUUGGCUUAGAAGCAGCCAUCAUUUAAAGAAAGCGUAAUAGCUCACUGGUCGAGUCGGCCUGCGCGGAAGAUGUAACGGGGCUAAACCAUG
RNAcentral lists this ribosomal RNA (699 nucleotides) under Escherichia coli. Its description in RNAcentral is "partial 23S ribosomal RNA". It matches the Rfam family "Bacterial large subunit ribosomal RNA", at positions 493 to 1191 of the family's 2925-position model. The record is from RNAcentral. Lineage: Bacteria; Pseudomonadati; Pseudomonadota; Gammaproteobacteria; Enterobacterales; Enterobacteriaceae.